AUAACUACUGGAAACGGUAGCUAAUACCGCAUAACGUCGCAAGACCAAAGAGGGGGACCUUCGGGCCUCUUGCCAUCAGAUGUGCCCAGAUGGGAUUAGCUAGUAGGUGGGGUAACGGCUCACCUAGGCGACGAUCCCUAGCUGGUCUGAGAGGAUGACCAGCCACACUGGAACUGAGACACGGUCCAG
RNAcentral lists this ribosomal RNA (189 nucleotides) under uncultured Enterobacterales bacterium. RNAcentral describes it as "partial 16S ribosomal RNA". It matches the Rfam family "Bacterial small subunit ribosomal RNA", at positions 143 to 334 of the family's 1533-position model. Lineage: Bacteria; Pseudomonadati; Pseudomonadota; Gammaproteobacteria; Enterobacterales. The record is from RNAcentral.